Molecule: ribosomal RNA, 793 nt
Filed under: Triticum aestivum (bread wheat)
Lineage: Eukaryota; Viridiplantae; Streptophyta; Magnoliopsida; Poales; Poaceae
Description: partial small subunit ribosomal RNA
Source: RNAcentral
CCUAUCCCUCCGCCGCCGGUGCCUCAGAUCCGCCGGUCGCGCCUCCAGUCCGCCGCCCACGCCUUCAAUCCGCCGCCCGCGAUGGCCAAGUCCGCCCGCCGUGGCAACGAGGACCCCGAGCAGGCGCGUCGCGUCAGAUCCGACGGGGCGCGGAAGCGCGCCACCUUGCGGUACACACGCCAUGGGCGGUCGCCGCCGCCGUCGCUCCUCCGCCACGAGAUGGAGGAGUACGACCGCGCGCGCGGGCGCCUCUUCUCCGGCACCGGCAGCUCCUCCGGGGCGUCCAGCUCGCGCUCCUCUAUCACCUAGGUGAAGAGAGAGCCAGAGGCCGAGGCGGGGCCGCAGCGACGUGCCGGUGGCGUCGUUGGGCAGGAGGACUUCCUCCCCUCGGCGCAGGCGGACGCCAUUUUGCCCCCGAUGCUAGCGCGCAGUGCGUGGGAUGAGAGUGGGAAGGAGGAGUGGCGCCGCGAGGCCGCUAACCAGGAGCAGAUUUUCGUCGACCUCACCUCCGACGACGACUCCGAUUGAGUGCCGCCGCUGGUUAGCUACCACACGAGCUCCGGUGAGCUCCAUUUUGUCUAGUGCUACGGUAGCGUAACUCCGGCGUAGCUCUGACCUUUUAUGUAAAUAUAUCUAUGUUGUGUACGAACGAUCUGCCCCUAUGUGAAGAAUGAUCUAUACUCCGGCGAGCUUUUGCAUUAAAGUUCUCGUGCGAAACAUGUUUUUAAAAUUUUAUGGUUUUUUAUAUAGUUUCUGAUUUGCUGUGACGAUUUUGAGCCCGUAUAGACCCCCG